AUUGCCUCAGUAACGGCGAGUGAAGCGGCAACAGCUCAAAUUUGAAAUCUGGCCCCAGGCCCGAGUUGUAAUUUGCAGAGGAUGCUUUUGGCGCGGUGCCUUCCGAGUUCCCUGGAACGGGACGCCAUAGAGGGUGAGAGCCCCGUCUGGUUGGACACCAAGCCUUUGUAAAGCUCCUUCGACGAGUCGAGUAGUUUGGGAAUGCUGCUCUAAAUGGGAGGUACAUGUCUUCUAAAGCUAAAUACCGGCCAGAGACCGAUAGCGCACAAGUAGAGUGAUCGAAAGAUGAAAAGCACUUUGGAAAGAGAGUUAAACAGCACGUGAAAUUGUUAAAAGGGAAGCGUUUAUGACCAGACGUGGGCCGGUUAAUCAUCCAGCGUUCUCGCUGGUGCACUUUGCCGGUCCAGGCCAGCAUCAGUUCGUUGCGGGGGAUAAAGGCUUUGGGAAUGUAGCUCCUCGGAGUGUUAUAGCCCUUUGCGUAAUACCCUGCGUCGGACUGAGGUUCGCGCUCUGCAAGGAUGCUGGCGUAAUGGUCAUCAACGACCCGUCUUGAAACACGGACCAAGGAGUCGUCUUCGUAUGCGAGUGUUCGGGUGUAAAACCCCUACGCGAAAUGAAAGUGAACGCAGGUGAGAGCUUCGGCGCAUCAUCGACCGAUCCUGAUGUUCUCGGAUGGAUUUGAGUAAGAGCAUACGGGGCCGGACCCGAAAGAAGGUGAACUAUGCCUGUAUAGGGUGAAGCCAGAGGAAACUCUGGUGGAGGCUCGCAGCGGUUCUGACGUGCAAAUCGAUCGUCAAAUAUGGGCAUGGGGGCGAAAGACUAAU
RNAcentral lists this ribosomal RNA (824 nucleotides) under Striatibotrys yuccae. Its description in RNAcentral is "eukaryotic LSU rRNA". It matches the Rfam family "Eukaryotic large subunit ribosomal RNA", at positions 74 to 935 of the family's 3401-position model. The record is from RNAcentral. Lineage: Eukaryota; Fungi; Ascomycota; Sordariomycetes; Hypocreales; Stachybotryaceae.